RNAcentral lists this ribosomal RNA (254 nucleotides) under uncultured bacterium. Its description in RNAcentral is "partial 16S ribosomal RNA". It matches the Rfam family "Bacterial small subunit ribosomal RNA", at positions 524 to 776 of the family's 1533-position model. The record is from RNAcentral.
UACGUAGGCAGCAAGCGUUGUUCGGAGUUACUGGGCGUAAAGAGUAUGUAGGCGGUGGCUUAAGUUUGGUGUGAAAUCUCCCGGCUCAACUGGGAGGGUGCGCCGAAUACUGAAUGACUUGGAGUGCGGGAGAGGAGAGUGGAAUUCCUGGUGUAGCGGUGAAAUGCGUAGAUAUCAGGAGGAACACCGGUGGUGUAGACGGCUCUCUGGACCGUAACUGACGCUGAGACACGAAAGCGUGGGUAGCAAACAGG